This 3293-nucleotide long non-coding RNA is filed under the name Sus scrofa (pig). RNAcentral's name for it is "lncRNA (ENSSSCG00000063404.1)". Lineage: Eukaryota; Metazoa; Chordata; Mammalia; Artiodactyla; Suidae. The record is from RNAcentral.
GUGUGAAGAUGCAAAGUAGUAGAUACAUUUUAUGUUACAGAAGUAGGAAGUCAGAGCUUUGAUAUUGGAGUACGUGUGAUGAUUAAAGAAGGGAGAAAUUGGGUUUUUGACUUGAUUAAUUUGGUUGGAUAGUGGUGAUGCUGAGAAAAGAAGAAGUGUCUUUGGACCUUCUAGCCCUUUUGGCUGACAAUAAGGGUAGCCUGAUGGAAAAAAUAAAUUGAUCUAAAAAAUUUGUAUUAGCAGUGUCCACACUCAACCAGCAUACAGUCUUCAAGUUCUAUCUUCCAGGGACCAAACCUAAAUUUAUGUAUGACUCUUCCAUAAUGUAAUUUUUGAGAAAACCCAUUUAAAGGUAAGUAUCAUAAGAAACAGUUAUGAAAAAGAAAACUGAGAAAGAUAAUAGUGCUAAAAACAAACAAAAAACCCUAUUUCAUAUUCACUAAACAACCCAACAAAAAUUUAUAGUUAAAACAGUAGUACCAAGUUCCUCUUGUGGUGCAGCGGGUUGAGAAUGACUACAGUGGCUUGGGUCACUGCAGAGUUGUAAGUUCAAUCCCUGGCACGAUAUAGUGGGUUAAGGAUCCCACUGUUGCUGCAACUGUAGCAUAGGUGGCAGCAGUGGCUUGGUUUCUUCCCCUGGCCUGGGAACUUCUAUAUGCUGUGGGUGUGGCCAUUAAAAAAAUAAAAAGAAUAGAAGAAUUAAAAUGCAUAGGUGGAAAUUAAAUUGUGGUCUUAGAGCUACCAGUUAUUACCAGUGUGAGGGUAGAUUUUUCUCAUAUUAUCUUGGAGUCUAAUUUUUUAAAGCUCCAAAAAAUUUAGAUUUUUAAAUUGAUUUUCAUCUUAGGUCCUAUUCUUCUUUGACUCUAGGGAAGUCUAGUGUAUUUCAGUCCAUCUACCACCUAAAGCCAGAUUUUGCUGUCCUUUCUAGUUAGUGAGCUCUUUUGAAAUCUUAUUCAACUCUCUGUUUUCAGGUGUAUGUAUAGUCUUGACUCUGCUUAGUUCAGAAACGUGUUUGUAAAACCCCUCUCCACCAUGAAUGCUGAAACAUAGAUUAACAUAUAUAAAUCCUAGGAAGAAUAAUAGAAUUUUAGGAUUUGAAGCUAGAACAGAGAUCUUGCCAGUGGCUCCUGUGAUACACAGCUCCUCUGAUCAUUUUGUAAUGCACCCUGGAACUUUCCCCUAUUAUGGAGCCAUGUCUGUUCUCCACAGAAUCACGAAGCAAAUACACUCCCUGAUUUACAAGAAAGGCCAUCAAAUGUUUGGAAACAUUGAUUUAUUUUUCUUGGAUUGUUGGGUAUCUAUAGUUUCUUUUCUUCUGGUGAAUUUUCUCUAGUUCAUUCAAGUAUUCCACUAUUUCUUAUAAUCCUAUUGGUCUUUCUAGUCAACUCUUAAACUUUAUAAUCACUUUCAGCAUCACUGAUUUUUUAUCUUUCAUCAGUUUACUUGUUUCAAGAUGGCUAAGCAAAUAUUAACCUAUCCCAAGGUAGAACUUAAUUCGUUCCAUGUAUUCAUUCAACAAGUAUUUGUCAAUAGCUGUUAUUUACUAUGUCCUGCUUCUCUUCCAUACACUUUGAGGCAGUCACGUACAGAGAUACAUUUACCUUUUAAUGAAUCUCUGCACGUUACAGAAACGUGGGGUAAUGUACAUAGUCAUUUAUUUUCCUUUCCUCUUUGAACACCUCCCCCAGUCUCAGUUAUCCUGAAAGCAGCUAACGGUUCUCCAGCUAUUAUUGUGCACCUGAACCAUAACACGUGGUCUUUGGGAGAGGGCACUGCUUGUGACAGUGAACCUUGGAGCCAGGCACGUGGUUAGAAUUCCAGCUUCAUGAUGAUCAGUUAGGGUCCUUUGGAAGAUCAUUCAACCUGUUUGGUCUUGAGUUUUCUUCUCUCUGAAAUGGGAAUGAUACUAAUCUUAUCUACUUUAUGGAUUAAGAUAAUUUUAGGGCUCAGACACCAAGCAAGCCCUAUGAGAGUCCUUGUGGUUGUUAUUUUUAUUUCUCCGUAAUAGUGGAGGAAUGACACCGAGGAGCUUUGGCCGUCCAGAGCAGGAAGUAAGGCUGUUUUACCUGUUUAUGUGGUCUCUCUUUGUUGGAGGAGUUAAUGACUCCCAAGUAUUUUGAGAAAAGGAGAGCUGGUGUUUGAGUUUUCUUUUUUCUAUUGGUGCAGAAGAAUACAUUUUAAGAUAGACUUUAUCCCUGAGACCUCACUGUAACUUACCUGUAAUAAAAACCUUUCAUUUGGCCCAGUUCAGUUUAUCUCAUAUUGAAAUACCUCCCAUAGCCUUCUUCUUUUGAAAAGGCUUUUGUAGGAGAAUAGGGAGGACAGAAGUCAUGGUCAUGGGUGGAUACCCCCUGGAAUUCACCAGCAUAUGGCAAUACCUUUUUUUUUUUUUUUUUUUUUUUCCUGAGGCGAAUCUUCUCCCACUUGAGUAUCCAGAGGUUCAGGGUUUAGUUUUGAAGAGAAGGAAUGACUUUGUCCUCUUCUCUGCCUUCCCAGCCUCGGUGCCUGUGCUUUUUCACAUGUCCUGUGUUAACACCGUUGGCGACAUUUCCCCAGUCAAGUGACAGUGUUGUAAAACUUCACAUCUGCCCGCUGGAGGGCCUGUCACCAACUCCGUAUACUUUUAGAACCUCAAGUAAACCAUGCCUAUUUAAAGCCUAUGUUUUUGGUCUCUCCCUAUAAAGUGUUUUCCGCACCCAAGACCAUGGAAGUGCACUGGUUCCAUGAGUACACUGGUCACUCAUUUUCAACCCUCAUAUCUUUAAUUUCUGCUCAGAGUACCUUUAGACGCUUUCACAGAUCGUUGCCAGCGGAUGCAGAUGGAUCGAGGGCUUGUGAGACGUCAUGCUCGUCUUAGAAAAACCACACUUCCUGUGAAAGCUUGGUAACUAAAGAAGCUUUAAGGAGUCUAAAGCGAAAACUCACAAAAAACAUUAGUGAUGAUAGAAAAAGAGAUGUUAAUACAACUGGAAAAAGAAAGCACAGUAAAAGUGCUUGAAAACCCAGUGGUAUGCCGUGUGGAGGGUGUCGUGGUUAGUAGGUUAAACACUUCCAUGCACCACUGCCAUGUGCUAAUAACUUCCAAGAACAGAAAAUGAAAGAAAGUCAGGUAUUAUAGCUGGAUGAAUUGAUGGAGAUAGGGCACAGAUUUUAUGUUCUCUAAUCCUAAUUGUAGAUGGGUGUUUAAAUCCUUUUAGAAAGUACUGGCUCUGGGUAAAGGGACAGAAUCACUUUAUGAAAUAGUUAACAGUGACCUAGAACAAGUUCCAUUGCAUCAAACCAGAUGCUCCCCC